Molecule: long non-coding RNA, 209 nt
Filed under: Panax ginseng (ginseng)
Lineage: Eukaryota; Viridiplantae; Streptophyta; Magnoliopsida; Apiales; Araliaceae
Description: long non-coding RNA (PGIN_LNC006729)
Source: RNAcentral
UUCAUUUUGGUACCCAUAUUUGCAUGGGUCCUUCUUUGUUAGUGCCUUUGGGGACCCAAAUUUGUCUAAUCUUGGGUCUCACAUGCAUGGAAUUAUAAUAACACUUUGUAGCCCUAUGACCAUAUUUAUUGCAUAUGAAACAUCUAUUAUAAUGCAUACCUGUGUGUGUGUGGUGAUUCAUCUUCCACUUGGACUUGUGUGGUUCCUUA